Molecule: ribosomal RNA, 439 nt
Filed under: uncultured bacterium
Lineage: Bacteria
Description: bacterial SSU rRNA
Rfam family: Bacterial small subunit ribosomal RNA
Source: RNAcentral
AACGCGAAGAACCUUACCUGGGCUUAACAUCCCCUGACCGCGGCAGAGAUGUCGUUUUCCCUUCGGGGACAGGGAGAUAGGUGCUGCAUGGCUGUCGUCAGCUCGUGUCGUAAGAUGUUGGGUUAAGUCCCGCAACGAGCGCAACCCUUGUUCUUAGUUGCCAUCAUUAAGUUGGGCACUCUGAGGAGACUGCCGGUGUUAAACCGGAGGAAGGCGGGGAUGACGUCAAGUCCUCAUGGCCCUUACGUCCAGGGCUACACACGUACUACAAUGGCAGAGACAAAGGGUCGCAAAGCCGCAAGGUGAAGCUAAUCCCAAAAACACUGUCUCAGUCCGGAUUGAAGUCUGCAACUCGACUUCAUGAAGCUGGAAUCGCUAGUAAUCGCAAAUCAGCACGCUGCGGUGAAUACGUUCCCGGGCCUUGUACACACCGACGCAC